RNAcentral lists this ribosomal RNA (395 nucleotides) under uncultured bacterium. Its description in RNAcentral is "bacterial SSU rRNA". It matches the Rfam family "Bacterial small subunit ribosomal RNA", at positions 28 to 405 of the family's 1533-position model. The record is from RNAcentral.
GAUGAACGCUGGCGGCGUGCUUAACACAUGCAGGUCGAACGGGAAACCUUUUAUUGAAGCUUCGGCAGAUUUAGCUGGUUUCUAGUGGCGGACGGGUGAGUAACGCGUGGGUAACCUGCCUUAUACAGGGGGAUAACAACCAGAAAUGGUUGCUAAUACCGCAUAAGCGCACAGGACCGCAUGGUCCGGUGUGAAAAACUCCGGUGGUAUAAGAUGGACCCGCGUUGGAUUAGCUAGAUGGUGAGGUAACGGCCCACCAUGGCGACGAUCGGUAGCCGGACUGAGAGGUUGAACGGCCACAUUGGGACUGAGACACGGCCCAGACUCCUACGGGAGGCAGCAGUGGGGGAUAUUGCACAAUGGGGGGAACCCUGGAUGCAGCGACGCCGCGUGUA